This 89-nucleotide transfer RNA is filed under the name Sanguibacter gelidistatuariae. It matches the Rfam family "tRNA". Rfam says of the family: Transfer RNA (tRNA) molecules are approximately 80 nucleotides in length. Their secondary structure includes four short double-helical elements and three loops (D, anti-codon, and T loops). Lineage: Bacteria; Bacillati; Actinomycetota; Actinomycetes; Micrococcales; Sanguibacteraceae. The record is from Rfam by way of RNAcentral. RNAcentral also lists the same sequence under 1 other name.
GGAGACGUCGCAUAGCCCGGUCUAGUGCGCCACCCUGCUAAGGUGGUGACGGGGAAACCUGUCCGAGGGUUCGAAUCCCUCCGUCUCCG